GUCCUUUAGAAAAAUAUAAUUUAAGGUCUAACCUGCCCAUUGAUAAAGUUAAAAGGCCGCAGUAAUUUGACUGUGCAAAGGUAGCAUAAUCAUUAGUUUUUUAAUUAAAAGCUUGUAUGAAUGGUUGGACGAGAUAAAAUCUGUCUCUUAAUAAAAAAUAGAAUUUAAUUUUUAAGUUAAAAAGCUUAAAUAUAAAUAAAAGACGAGAAGACCCUAUAGAUCUUUAUAUAAUUUUUUUUAGUAUUAAUAAAGAAAAUUUUAUUUAUUAAUUUAAUUUAUAUUUUAUUGGGGUAAUAAAAAGAUUAAAUAAAUUCUUUUAUAUUAAACAAAGAUUAUUGAUUAUAUGAUCCAUUAUUAAUGAUUAAAAGAUUAAGUUACCUUAGGGAUAACAGCGUAAUUUUUUUAGAGAGUUCUUAUCAAUAAAAAAGUUUGCGACCUCGAUGUUGGAUUAAAAGUAAUCUCAGGUGCAGAAGUUUGAGAUUUUGGUC
This 488-nucleotide ribosomal RNA is filed under the name Hydroporus striola. RNAcentral describes it as "partial 16S ribosomal RNA". The record is from RNAcentral. Lineage: Eukaryota; Metazoa; Arthropoda; Insecta; Coleoptera; Dytiscidae.